GCUUACGGCCACACCACCCUGAACGCGCCUGAGCUUGUCUGUUCUCAGAAGCAAAAGAGGGUUGGGCCUGGUCAGUACUUGGAGGGUUGACCGCCUGGGAAUACCAGGUGCUGUAAGCU
This 119-nucleotide ribosomal RNA is filed under the name Sphaeramia orbicularis (orbiculate cardinalfish). Lineage: Eukaryota; Metazoa; Chordata; Actinopteri; Kurtiformes; Apogonidae. The record is from RNAcentral.